UAGGUCACAGUCCAUUUCAGCAGAAGUGUGGACUGCAGGCCCUGCCCCUUUGGCUCCCGCUAAUGUCAACUGAUAACACAACGGUUUUAACUGCCAGUAAAAACAUCAGCCACUUGAAUAAGGAGGCUUGUUCACCUUGCAUCAAUCAAAAGAGAAUAACAAACCUACAUUGGCAGAGUUCAGCCUGCCCACACAUAGUAUUCUCAGCAUAACCUGAGGUAUUCAACCAGGAGGUGUGAAUCACUAACCUGAGAUAUCCUGCUCUGUAUACAAAUGAAGUUGAUUAAUGAUGCUGAAAUAAUUUCUGGCAUUCCAACUGUGUGAGAAUUCAGUUAGCAGUUUCUGUUAAGUCCUUUUAAAAAGGUCACAUGCGCACAAAAACAGGUUAAGAAGAAAAAAAACCACCGAAGAGCUGCAAGAUGUUUCUUUUCAGACCUCACCAAGUCGGCACCCAGGCACAGCAGUAAAGAAAAAUCUCAUGUAGCAAUCUUGGUUUUUAGUCUACCUAAAAUGUCUUUUUGUGGAAGAACCAAGUCUUUCUGAGGAGGGAUAUAUGUUUCUUUAUACACUGUGAAACAGUAAGAUUCCUUCACUUCAACUUGACAAAGAAAAACGUCCACAUUUCUGUUUUCUUUUCAGAAAUCCAAAAAUAUCAUCUCCGCAAUUCCAGUCUUCCUAAAUAAACAAAGAGAUGACAAAA
Non-coding RNA from Pantherophis guttatus, 700 nucleotides. The record is from RefSeq and is a predicted model, not a curated record. Lineage: Eukaryota; Metazoa; Chordata; Lepidosauria; Squamata; Colubridae.